GUCCAGACAGAAGACCGGCUCUCUCUUGGGCAGGAUAAAGGCCAGAGGCUCCUGGACGACGCUGACGUUCACGUGCCCCAGGUUUCCGUACUUGGAGAGCUGAGUGGGUGGAAUGCCUGAUCCAGAAGGUCUGUGCGAUCUGAGCUGGAGGAAAGAGGACUUGGAGACAGCGAUUUAAAUAAGGAACAAGGUCUUCCAGGAAGACAGUGCAGAACUGGACAAAGAGCUCUUGCUCCCCACUGCUGAAGGCAGCCUCUUCUGCACGAUGGAAGGCCAGGAUUACUUUAGUUACCUAGGAGAAAAGGGCACCACCAAUUACCUGUUAAUCUAUCCCCAUCAGCAGUGACAAAGAUGUGCAGCCCUCAAGUUUUCUGAAAGAACACUCCUUCCAAACAGUACAUCAUUAUCUUGUAUUUCACAACUGUGGUCAGUCUUCACAAUUCUGUCACUUCAAUGAUGUAUUCCUUACUCAACUAGUUUCAUUAUUGGCGCAGUUUCCAAUUCCAGUGCAGGAACAUCAUGAAAUACACAGAAUACAACAUUUUUGGCUCCAAUGGGAGAUGGACUGGAACUCUGAUGGAUCCAGGAAAAUACCAGCAAUACCAUGAAAGGUUUUACUGAGUAAGGCCUCUGAAAUUCCAAAAUGCUAGAACCACUAGAAAAUUGUAAAGGAGCAGGAAAACAGAGCUGGAAAAGAACAUACAUUAUUUCCACAUACAAAGAACAUUCAUUAUUUCCACAUACAAAUAACAGAGCAAGCAUAGCUAACAUUACAGACAGGUGUCACGGUGACAGGGUUAAGAACAGAGACUCUGGGAAACUGCCUGGUGCUUCAGUGGUUAGAAAUCUAUGCUUUCACUGCCAAGGGCCUGGGUUCAAUCCCUGGUCACAAGCUGCAUUGUCCCGCCAAACAAACAAGUAAAUAACGAAGAGCCUCUGGUGCUAGAUGUUCUGGGCUCUAGUUCCAGCUGUGCACUCAGUGCUUCUGUGGAGAAAGACUCAAUGCAAGCAUGUCACAACUGCCACCUGGUUGACAGGGAUUAUAGGAUGCCAUCAACUGUAAGAAGCACCUCAACAUCUAAAGAUGUAAUGUUUAAAAACGUGCACCAUACUCAGAAAUUGGUAGGAUCAGUAGUGUUACUUAUAUUAGAUGGAAUUCUAAGACGGCUCUUGUGAUCCCCACCUCCUGGUACCCACUCCUUUGUGUUUUCUCCUCCUCCUUGAGCGCAGGCAGAACCAAUAGGAUAUGGCAAAGGUGAAGGAUUCUGCAGUUUUCAUUAACAUCCCAAAUCGGCUGACUGUGAAUUAAUGAAAAAGGAAGUUAUCCUGGGUGGGCCUGACUUAAUUAGAUGAACCUCUUAAAAAGCGGGCUGAGGAAGAGACUUUGAGCAGGAGAGAUGUGCUCCCACUGGCCCUGAAGAAUCAAAAACUGUGAACUGCUCAUGGAGUGGGGUGGUCUCCAGGAGUUGAGGGCCUCAGUCCUACAACUGUAAGGAACAGGAAUAUGCCACUGUGAAUGAACCUGAAAGGAGGGGAUCCCGAGCCCCAGAGGAGUCCACAGUCGGGCCAACACCUCGAUUACAACCUCGUGAGCAGAAGCUCAACCCAGUUAUACUGUGCCUGGACUCCUGACCCAAAGAAACUGAGACAUGAUAAAUAUGUGUUGUUUUAAGCUGCUAUGUUUGUGUGAGUUUGUCAUGCAGCAACAGAAAACCAAUACAUCACUGAAAAAUUACUCCAGGUGAGCCACUUCAUGAAGGAGGACUAACCAGACCUUUUCAACAGAAAAACCUCUAAAACCACACUAAACCUAAGUCAGCAGGCACCCUGUCACACAGACUGGUGUGUUACAAAAGUCUGGCCACCUGUAACAAAAGGAGCACCCCGCUACCGCCCCCCGCAAAAAAAAAAAAGGAGGCCCCAGUAGAGAGCCAACAGUCUGCACUCACCUUGU
Dama dama (fallow deer) is the source of this 1954-nucleotide long non-coding RNA. RefSeq lists it as uncharacterized. The record is from RefSeq and is a predicted model, not a curated record. Lineage: Eukaryota; Metazoa; Chordata; Mammalia; Artiodactyla; Cervidae. The transcript is spliced from 3 exons.